UUUGCUUCCUGCAGUGGGAAAACCCAGAAGCCCACAGCUCUGCCUGCGUGUGGGGGUCUGAGGAGACCGCAUAGCACUGAGCCCUCAGGCUGGGCGGAGGACAACAGCACCAUGACAAAUGGGGCACCAGACCAGAGCCCGCCCUGCGGCAGCCCGGCCCUCCUGUCCCUCGCACUGGGGCUGGCUGCGUUCCUCCUGCGGCUGUGCUGAGCUGGGCCCGAAGACCCCUGCAGGCCGGCAUCCCCCUGCUCCGGAUCUCCGCCGCCAGGCCCAGCCAGCUCCUGUCCCCGUGUUCCCGCAGCGCUUCCCUAUGGCCGCAGCCUCCAGGAGGACCAACUCCAAGCACAGCCUCCGCAGUUGUGCUGUGAAGCUCUGAGAAAUAAAGUACGAGGCUCUAACGCGUUUGUUCUAGUGCUGUUACGGGCUGGCAUUGGGGGGCGCUCGCUGAGGGGAGGACGAGGCCCGCUCGCGCCUCUGGGGCGGCCGCAGCCGCGCGCUGACCGCCG
This 506-nucleotide long non-coding RNA is filed under the name Gallus gallus (chicken). RNAcentral's name for it is "lncRNA (ENSGALG00010018038.1)". The record is from RNAcentral. Lineage: Eukaryota; Metazoa; Chordata; Aves; Galliformes; Phasianidae.